GGAAAUGAUUGUAUCACAAUACCAGACAGCCAUUGAGAGUGUACUCGUGAGUUUACCAGUCAAAUGAAUGCAAUAAAGAGGUCAAUGGAACACAGACAGUAGGGGAUAGAAUAAGGAUGCAGGAUUGCCGCACAUUCAACAAAUCUGAUAUAACAAAGUAGAUAUUCAUCAAAUCCGUCAUGAUUGAUGUAUUGUAACAGGCCCACAAUAUGGUUACUAAAGUCCAAUUUGGAUAUAUUUGGCUGUUUUUGCUGCAUAACAUUUAGAAGCUGUUCCUUUUCCAGUUUAGAAGAAGUGACUCCUAAAUGCUAACUCCCAUUCGCAUAAGCUGGUAGCAUAGCUAGCAUACAGAAAUCGGUGGUGGUAGUCAAAGUCGUUUUUUAACUGCAAUGCUGUUGAUUGGUGACGAUGUCCCAAAAAAUAUUUGGGGUUAACAUCUAUACAAACAUUAUAUUCAGAUUUUUACCUCAACCUAGUGUGAAAUACACAUAUAAACAAUAGCCUAAAUGCAGGAACAUUUUGCUAGGGGGCAAUGAGGAGAAUUGGGAUCGUUCCCCGACAGCAAAUUUCCCCCACGUGUUUCCAUGGCAUUUCCAUUGUUUGAGUCAAGUUCCAUUGACCUCUUUACUGCAUAAUUUGCCAAGGUUAGAGCUUCCAAGCCCUCUCUAUUCAUUAUAUUUCUAUGGUGCUGCCUGCCUAUCACAGCUUGAAGUUCCAGUGAGAUGGGUUAUUAUGAUGUAAGAGGUAGAGGAAGAGAUGACCUAUGAAAUGAUCUCUGUCUGCAUGCAUUAACAUUGUCAUAUUUUUCAAAGAAACGCACAGGCAAGCCAAGCUCCACCAAAGAAAAUAUUUGCAAGGCCGAAGACCUUAGGGACGUUGUUCUAAAGGUAAUACAAUCAGGCGACCACUAACCCAAAAGAAACCUGGUCUGUACGUAACUGUAGAAGUUUGAAAUGAAUGAUGUUCUGUAGAUACUGUCUCCUACUGCUGAUACUGGUGCACUGAAUCGAUCAGCCAACAACAAUAAAGCAAUGGACUGAUUUCAGUUUUAAAAGAUGUCAAUUUUUUGCACCUAGGGUUUACUAAGGGUUACUUAUUAUAGUCAAUCAUAAAGGUGUCUUAAAAUACGGUUGAAAUAAUUGUAACAUGUUAAAAUUGACUAAAAUGGCCCGUCAUUAUACAAUAAGGCCCUAUGUCAAAUGACUUUUGCAUAAUUGAUAUAGAAGAACAAAAGAACAAUCAGGUAUAACAGUCUUUUUUUAUUCUCCAAGCCAUCAAUGAACAUUCCUCAAUGUUUGCACCACUAUAAAAGGCCAAAACUUUUCAUCCAUUAUUUUUUCAUAUAGUUAAGGAAAGGAUAUGUGAAAGUCUAAAUUAGAUCACUAUUGAAUGCUAAUUCCAAAAAAACAUUUUUAAUAUUCAUCAGCCUCACACACAAAGACAAGACUAUUCAUUCCAUUCAACAUUUCCAAUGUCACGUUUCUUUGCUCUGUUGUCCAGUUUUCCUAUACUCAUCCCUCAAAUUUCACUGGCUUUCAUCUCACCACAAAUGCUGCAAACACAGGCUGCCCCUCUACAAUGACAUGUGGGGCACAAAGACUCAGUGGGGCACACUGCAUCCAUGUCUCACAUCUCUUCCUACAUGUAUCUCACUCCCCCUCUCUACACUUGAGUGGUUGUAUUUCCUUUUGGUUAAUCGGAAACUCGUUUGCCACAACAGACAUUUUUAUAUUUAUCUUCAGAAGCUUGUGUUGGAGGUUUUUUCGGAUCAUUAGGUACAUCACAUUUAUAUUAGCUUCAGACCAAGUCUACAGCCUGACUUAUUGCCUCACCGAUUGCCUCAGGAAUCUGGAUGUCGCCGGGCAGGUUCAAGUUCUUUUUUAAUUCGCAGUAACUUUGCACCUCAACGGCAUCCUCUGGCUUGUCAAUGCCGUUGACACAUUCCUUUUGCUGUGGCUCCGGGGCAGACACGGCAGCCGGCUCGACCGCCUGCUCCUGACACUCCCCAUUGACCUCAGGGGCAGAAGGCUCAGCAGUAGCCUCCACUGAGGAAACAACUUCCUUGUUGUCCAGCACAGCCUCCUCUUGCUCAGCGCUGGCCUCCUCUGCAGCAGCAGGUGCAGCAGAUUCUGAAAUGAUGAUCUCCGGGAUGGGUUCUGCGAUGUCGGCAGCGUCUGGCUCUGCUGCUUCAGUUACUGCAUCAGCAGCUUCAGAUUCAAGCUCUGCUACGGAUUCUUCUACAGGUAGGGGGAGCUCUUCAGCAGCUGGUUGUGGGAUGGAAUCUGCCUCUGGCUCUGCGGCUGCCUCUGUGGCUGACUCUGACACGGCUUCUGCAACUGAUGCAGGCUCCUCCUCCGGGGUGGGUGAAGCUGCUUCUGCCUCUACUGGUGCCUCGACCACAGCAUCAGGUUCUGGGGCCUUCCCUGUAACAGUCUCUGUUUCAGGCUCUGGAGCGGCAGGCUCUGGUUCUGUAGUGUCUGUAAUCUCUGCUGUCACCUCUGUGGCUUGUUCUGUAGCCUCAGAAGCCUUUUCUGGUGCUGCAGCUAGCUCCACAGAGGCUGCCACAGGCUCUUCUGGUGCAGGCUCUUUUGGUGCUGCCUCAGGCUCCUCUGGUGCAGGCUCUUUCGGUGCUGCCGCAGGCUCUUCUGAUGGAGGCUCUUCCACUGCAGGCUCUUUUGGUGCUGCUGCAGGCUCUUCUGGUGCAGGUUCUUUUGGUGCUGUUGCAGGCUCUUCUGGUACAGGCUCUUCUGGUACAGGCUCUUCCACUGCAGGCUCUUUUGGUGCAGCCGCUGGUUCCUUUAGUGCCGCUGGUUCUUCCGGUGCCUCUGUUUUAUCUGUUGCUGCUGCAGGUUCCUCUGGUGCUGCCGCAGGUUCCUCCAGUGAUGCUGCUGGUUCCUCAGCUGCUGCAGGUUCUUCCCGUGCUGCCACUGGCUCUUCUAAGGCUGCAGGUUCUUCUGGUGCUGCAGCUGGUGCUGGGUCCUCUGGUGCUGCAGCUGGUUCUCUUGAAGCCACCGGUUCUUCUGCUGCUGGCGCAGGUUCUUCCGGUGCCGCCCCUGGCUUUUCUGGGGCUGCAGGUUCUUCUGGUGCUGCAGCUGGUGCUGGGUCCUCUGGUGCUGUGGCUGGUUCUUCUGAAGCCACUGGUUCUUCUGCUGCUGGCGCUGGUUCUGCCGGUGCUGCCACGGGUUCAUCUGGUACAGCCGCUGGCUCUGCGGUGGCCCCCUUGGCCACGGCCUCUAUAGCUGACAGUGCCUCUUCUGUCGCUUCUGUGAUGGCUACCACUGUCGACUCCACUGCUCCCUCCACCGCAGCAGACACCUUAGGAGCAGUCUUCGCUGCCAACUCAGCGACCGGAGCUGGUGCUUUGCUCUCCACAACAUGGGUCACGGCCUCAACGGCACUCACAGCAGCCACAGUAAUCUCCUCCUUCUUGUCCUUUGGGUCGCUGACAUCGUACCCCUUCUUCCGCUUGCUCAGCUUGCCUCCCAUGGUGUCUCCUAAAAGUGAAUAAUACAAUCAGAAUGACUUAACAAGUGGGAUAGGUUGUGGCGUUUGAAAAUAUAUGUAUAG
Molecule: long non-coding RNA, 3567 nt
Organism: Oncorhynchus tshawytscha (Chinook salmon)
Lineage: Eukaryota; Metazoa; Chordata; Actinopteri; Salmoniformes; Salmonidae
Source: Ensembl